This is a small nuclear RNA of Rattus norvegicus (Norway rat), 179 nucleotides long. Ensembl annotates it as U2 spliceosomal RNA. The record is from Ensembl. Lineage: Eukaryota; Metazoa; Chordata; Mammalia; Rodentia; Muridae.
AUCGCUUCUCGGCCUUUUGGCUAAGAUCAAGUGUAGUCUCUUGGUGACUCUACUUGGCUGGAAUUUUAUUUCUAACAUAUCUUUUCGUAAAGAUUUAGUUUUAUUUAAUUUUAUGUGUCUGCAUGUAUGUAUGUGUAUCAUGUAUGUGCCUGGUGCCGACAGAGGUCAUCAGAUGCCCU